ACCACCUAGUAUCGUUUUAAUCGAUGGGGGGACGCAGUAGGAUAGGCGAAGCGUGCUGUUGGAGUGCACGUCCAAGCAGUAAGGCUGAGUGUUAGGCAAAUCCGGCACUCAUAAGGCUGAGCUGUGAUGGGGAGAGGAAAUUGUUUCCUCGAGUCGUUGAUUUCACACUGCCGAGAAAAGCCUCUAGAUAGAUAACAGGUGCCCGUACCGCAAACCGACACAGGUAGUCAAGAUGAGAAUUCUAAGGUGAGCGAGCGAACUCUCGUUAAGGAACUCGGCAAAAUGACCCCGUAACUUCGGGAGAAGGGGUGCUCUUUAGGGUUCACGCCCAGAAGAGCCGCAGUGAAUAGGCCCAAGCGACUGUUUAUCAAAAACACAGGUCUCUGCUAAACCGUAAGGUGAUGUAUAGGGGCUGACGCCUGCCCGGUGCUGGAAGGUUAAGAGGAGUGGUUAGCUUCUGCGAAGCUACGAAUCGAAGCCCCAGUAAACGGCGGCCGUAACUAUAACGGUCCUAAGGUAGCGAAAUUCCUU
RNAcentral lists this ribosomal RNA (531 nucleotides) under Staphylococcus epidermidis. Its description in RNAcentral is "partial 23S ribosomal RNA". It matches the Rfam family "Bacterial large subunit ribosomal RNA", at positions 1443 to 1970 of the family's 2925-position model. The record is from RNAcentral. Lineage: Bacteria; Bacillati; Bacillota; Bacilli; Caryophanales; Staphylococcaceae.